GGGACGAAUCGGUCUAUCGCCAGGAAAACAUCCUGGAGGAAAGUCCGGGCAACGCAGGGCAAUGCACCCUGAGAAAAUCAGGGGAUUAAAGUUGUAAAGCUUUAAGACAGCAAGUGUAGCAGAAAAUAACCGCCUCGUUUCGGGGUAAGGGUGAAAAUGUGGAGUAAGAGACCACGGGUUUAGACGGUAACGUUUAAAUGGUACAAACCUUGCAUGUUGAAAGACCAAGUAAACCUUAGUUAUGGAGUUGCCCGCUCCUUGCUUCGGCAACUAAGGAGGGUAGGUUGAUUGAUCCAUGGGGCGACCCCUGGACCAGAUAAAUGAUAGACAUUCAAACCUUGUGUUUGGAUACAGAACCCGGCUUACAGAUUUGUCCCUUUU
This 381-nucleotide RNase P RNA is filed under the name Bacteroidia bacterium. Its description in RNAcentral is "RNase P RNA component class A". It matches the Rfam family "Bacterial RNase P class A". From Rfam's summary of the family: Ribonuclease P (RNase P) is a ubiquitous endoribonuclease, found in archaea, bacteria and eukarya as well as chloroplasts and mitochondria. Its best characterised activity is the generation of mature 5'-ends of tRNAs by cleaving the 5'-leader elements of precursor-tRNAs. Cellular RNase Ps are ribonucleoproteins. Lineage: Bacteria; Pseudomonadati; Bacteroidota; Bacteroidia. The record is from RNAcentral.